GGGACACAUUCGCAAUUCAUAAACAAUAAUCAUGAAGAGGAAGAAACAUAUAUAUUCAUUCAUUCUCAAAUUCACAGUUGCAAUAACAAGAAAUUUUAACAAACACUAAUAAAAAAAUCAGGGCAAUACACAAAUACACUGGUAUGAAUUGAAUCUACACUUGCAAGGCAAGGUCGCGAUGAAAGCCGCAAAGGGCUAUAUUGCUGUAGGUGAGGGACAAGCGAAAGGCUUAGAGCUGAGGUGAGGGCCGAUGGGCAAGUGAAGUCACGAUGGGUGGGGUUGGCAAGGCGAGGUCGCCAUUUGCGAGGCCUUAUUGGGUGUUGAUGAAGCUACGAUUUACUACAAAGAGUUGAAGGAAAGGUGGGAAGAGAAGAUUGUUUGGAGAAGAAGGAGAACACAAUGCUGAAAAGAAGAUGAAGAAGAAACUAGAAAGGAGUGA
RNAcentral lists this unclassified non-coding RNA (439 nucleotides) under Hevea brasiliensis (rubber tree). The record is from RNAcentral. Lineage: Eukaryota; Viridiplantae; Streptophyta; Magnoliopsida; Malpighiales; Euphorbiaceae.